RNAcentral lists this non-coding RNA (156 nucleotides) under Bacillus tuaregi. The record is from RNAcentral. Lineage: Bacteria; Bacillati; Bacillota; Bacilli; Caryophanales; Bacillaceae.
GUUCCCUAAGUUAGUUUUAAGGGAUAAAAGGGAAUUCGGUGUAAAUCCGAAGCAGCCCCCGCUACUGUAAAGCUGAUGAAAUUGUCAAUGCCACUGGUGAAAACCGGGAAGGGACAAGAGUAAGAUGAAGCGAAGCCAGGAGACCUACUUUUAAAU